RNAcentral lists this unclassified non-coding RNA (197 nucleotides) under plant metagenome. RNAcentral describes it as "partial contains small subunit ribosomal RNA, internal transcribed spacer 1, and 5.8S ribosomal RNA". The record is from RNAcentral.
UCUCCGUUGGUGAACCAGCGGAGGGAUCAUUACCGAGUGCAAACUCAUAACCCUUUGUGAACCUAUAUCUGUUGCUUCGGCGGCUCGCUCUCGGGCGAGCCCGCCGGUAAUAUCAGUAUCUCUGUUUGAACCCGACGAUACUUCUGAGUGUUCUUAGCGAACAGUUAAAACUUUUAACAACGGAUCUCUUGGUUCUC